This 254-nucleotide unclassified non-coding RNA is filed under the name uncultured Gemmatimonadota bacterium. RNAcentral's name for it is "uncultured Gemmatimonadetes bacterium contains 16S-23S intergenic spacer region". It matches the Rfam family "Bacterial small subunit ribosomal RNA", at positions 524 to 776 of the family's 1533-position model. The record is from RNAcentral. Lineage: Bacteria; Pseudomonadati; Gemmatimonadota.
UACGGAGGGCGCGAGCGUUGUUCGGAAUUAUUGGGCGUAAAGCGCACGUAGGCGGCUCGAUCAGUCUCGCUGUGAAAGCCCGGGGCUCAACCCCGGGAGGCCAGGGGAUACUGUCGGGCUGGAGACAAGCGGAGGUGGGUAGAAUUCCGGGUGUAGCGGUGGAAUGCGUAGAGAUCCGGAGGAAUACCAGAGGCGAAGGCGGCUCACUGGGCUUGGCCUGACGCUGAGGUGCGAAAGCGUGGGGAGCGAACAGG